RNAcentral lists this ribosomal RNA (2545 nucleotides) under Klebsiella pneumoniae. RNAcentral describes it as "bacterial LSU rRNA". It matches the Rfam family "Bacterial large subunit ribosomal RNA", at positions 398 to 2925 of the family's 2925-position model. Lineage: Bacteria; Pseudomonadati; Pseudomonadota; Gammaproteobacteria; Enterobacterales; Enterobacteriaceae. The record is from RNAcentral.
UGUGAACUCGAAGAGUAGGGCGGGACACGUGGUAUCCUGUCUGAAUAUGGGGGGACCAUCCUCCAAGGCUAAAUACUCCUGACUGACCGAUAGUGAACCAGUACCGUGAGGGAAAGGCGAAAAGAACCCCGGCGAGGGGAGUGAAAAAGAACCUGAAACCGUGUACGUACAAGCAGUGGGAGCACCUUCGGGUGUGACUGCGUACCUUUUGUAUAAUGGGUCAGCGACUUAUAUUCUGUAGCAAGGUUAACCGUAUAGGGGAGCCGCAGGGAAACCGAGUCUUAACUGGGCGUUAAGUUGCAGGGUAUAGACCCGAAACCCGGUGAUCUAGCCAUGGGCAGGUUGAAGGUUGGGUAACACUAACUGGAGGACCGAACCGACUAAUGUUGAAAAAUUAGCGGAUGACUUGUGGCUGGGGGUGAAAGGCCAAUCAAACCGGGAGAUAGCUGGUUCUCCCCGAAAGCUAUUUAGGUAGCGCCUCGUGAACUCAUCUUCGGGGGUAGAGCACUGUUUCGGCUAGGGGGUCAUCCCGACUUACCAACCCGAUGCAAACUACGAAUACCGAAGAAUGUUAUCACGGGAGACACACGGCGGGUGCUAACGUCCGUCGUGAAGAGGGAAACAACCCAGACCGCCAGCUAAGGUCCCAAAGUCAUGGUUAAGUGGGAAACGAUGUGGGAAGGCACAGACAGCCAGGAUGUUGGCUUAGAAGCAGCCAUCAUUUAAAGAAAGCGUAAUAGCUCACUGGUCGAGUCGGCCUGCGCGGAAGAUGUAACGGGGCUAAACCAUGCACCGAAGCUGCGGCAGCGACACUAUGUGUUGUUGGGUAGGGGAGCGUUCUGUAAGCCUGCGAAGGUGACCUGUGAGGGUUGCUGGAGGUAUCAGAAGUGCGAAUGCUGACAUAAGUAACGAUAAAGCGGGUGAAAAGCCCGCUCGCCGGAAGACCAAGGGUUCCUGUCCAACGUUAAUCGGGGCAGGGUGAGUCGACCCCUAAGGCGAGGCCGAAAGGCGUAGUCGAUGGGAAACAGGUUAAUAUUCCUGUACUUGGUGUUACUGCGAAGGGGGGACGGAGAAGGCUAUGUUAGCCGGGCGACGGUUGUCCCGGUUUAAGCAUGUAGGCUGGUUAUCCAGGCAAAUCCGGAUAAUCAAGGCUGAGGUGUGAUGACGAGGCACUACGGUGCUGAAGUAACAAAUGCCCUGCUUCCAGGAAAAGCCUCUAAGCAUCAGGUAACAUCAAAUCGUACCCCAAACCGACACAGGUGGUCAGGUAGAGAAUACCAAGGCGCUUGAGAGAACUCGGGUGAAGGAACUAGGCAAAAUGGUGCCGUAACUUCGGGAGAAGGCACGCUGGUGUGUAGGUGAAGUCCCUGCGGAUGGAGCUGAGACCAGUCGAAGAUACCAGCUGGCUGCAACUGUUUAUUAAAAACACAGCACUGUGCAAACACGAAAGUGGACGUAUACGGUGUGACGCCUGCCCGGUGCCGGAAGGUUAAUUGAUGGGGUUAUCCGUAAGGAGAAGCUCUUGAUCGAAGCCCCGGUAAACGGCGGCCGUAACUAUAACGGUCCUAAGGUAGCGAAAUUCCUUGUCGGGUAAGUUCCGACCUGCACGAAUGGCGUAAUGAUGGCCAGGCUGUCUCCACCCGAGACUCAGUGAAAUUGAACUCGCUGUGAAGAUGCAGUGUACCCGCGGCAAGACGGAAAGACCCCGUGAACCUUUACUAUAGCUUGACACUGAACAUUGAGCCUUGAUGUGUAGGAUAGGUGGGAGGCUUUGAAGCGUAGACGCCAGUCUGCGUGGAGCCAACCUUGAAAUACCACCCUUUAAUGUUUGAUGUUCUAACGUUGGCCCCUGACCGGGGUUGCGGACAGUGUCUGGUGGGUAGUUUGACUGGGGCGGUCUCCUCCCAAAGCGUAACGGAGGAGCACGAAGGUUAGCUAAUCCUGGUCGGACAUCAGGAGGUUAGUGCAAUGGCAUAAGCUAGCUUGACUGCGAGCGUGACGGCGCGAGCAGGUGCGAAAGCAGGUCAUAGUGAUCCGGUGGUUCUGAAUGGAAGGGCCAUCGCUCAACGGAUAAAAGGUACUCCGGGGAUAACAGGCUGAUACCGCCCAAGAGUUCAUAUCGACGGCGGUGUUUGGCACCUCGAUGUCGGCUCAUCACAUCCUGGGGCUGAAGUAGGUCCCAAGGGUAUGGCUGUUCGCCAUUUAAAGUGGUACGCGAGCUGGGUUUAGAACGUCGUGAGACAGUUCGGUCCCUAUCUGCCGUGGGCGCUGGAGAAUUGAGGGGGGCUGCUCCUAGUACGAGAGGACCGGAGUGGACGCAUCACUGGUGUUCGGGUUGUCAUGCCAAUGGCACUGCCCGGUAGCUAAAUGCGGAAGAGAUAAGUGCUGAAAGCAUCUAAGCACGAAACUUGCCCCGAGAUGAGUUCUCCCUGAGACUUUAAGUCUCCUGAAGGAACGUUGAAGACGACGACGUUGAUAGGCCGGGUGUGUAAGCGCAGCGAUGCGUUGAGCUAACCGGUACUAAUGAACCGUGAGGCUUAACCUU